UGUCCAGUAGCACCUUAGAGACCAACUAAGUUUGUUCCUGGUAUAAGCUUUCGUGUGCAUGUAUAAACUAGAAAGCUUAUACCAAGAACAAACUUAGUUGGGCUCGAAGGUGCUACUGGACA
RNAcentral lists this microRNA precursor (122 nucleotides) under Podarcis lilfordi (Lilford's wall lizard). Lineage: Eukaryota; Metazoa; Chordata; Lepidosauria; Squamata; Lacertidae. The record is from RNAcentral.